CUCGUAGGCGGCCAACUAAGUCAGACGUGAAAUCCCCAGGCUCAACCUGGGAACUGCGUCUGAUACUGGAUGGCUUGAAUCCGGGAGAGGGAUGCAGAAUUCCAGGUGUAGCGGUGAAAUGCGUAGAUAUCUGGAGGAAUACCGGUGGCGAAGGCGGCAUCCUGGACCGGCAUUGACGCUGAGGAGCGAAAGCCAGGGGAGCAA
RNAcentral lists this ribosomal RNA (204 nucleotides) under uncultured bacterium. RNAcentral describes it as "partial 16S ribosomal RNA". It matches the Rfam family "Bacterial small subunit ribosomal RNA", at positions 568 to 771 of the family's 1533-position model. The record is from RNAcentral.